GCCCGAGUGGCGGAAUGGCAGACGCGACGGACUUAAAAUCCGUUAGUAGAAAUACUGUACCGGUUCAAGUCCGGUCUCGGGCACCA
Molecule: transfer RNA, 86 nt
Filed under: Clostridia bacterium
Lineage: Bacteria; Bacillati; Bacillota; Clostridia
Description: tRNA-Leu
Rfam family: tRNA
About the family: Transfer RNA (tRNA) molecules are approximately 80 nucleotides in length. Their secondary structure includes four short double-helical elements and three loops (D, anti-codon, and T loops). Further hydrogen bonds mediate the characteristic L-shaped molecular structure. tRNAs have two regions of fundamental functional importance: the anti-codon, which is responsible for specific mRNA codon recognition, and the 3' end, to which the tRNAs corresponding amino acid is attached (by aminoacyl-tRNA synthetases). tRNAs cope with the degeneracy of the genetic code in two manners: having more than one tRNA (with a specific anti-codon) for a particular amino acid; and 'wobble' base-pairing, i.e. permitting non-standard base-pairing at the 3rd anti-codon position.
Source: RNAcentral